GGAUUAGAUACCCUGGUAGUCUACGCCGUAAACGAUGAAUGCUAGGUUUCGGGGGGUUCGCCCUUCGGUUCCGCAGCUAACGCGUUAAGCAUUCCGCCUGGGGAGUACGAUCGCAAGAUUAAAACUUAAAGGAAUUGACGGGGACCCGCACAAGCGGUGGAGCAUGCGGUUUAAUUCGAUACUACGCGAAAAACCUUACCAACUCUUGACAUGGUAGUCGUAGGUGCAGAGAUGCACCGUCAGUUAGGCUGGACUAACACAGGUGUUGCAUGGCUGUCGUCAGCUCGUGUUG
RNAcentral lists this ribosomal RNA (292 nucleotides) under uncultured bacterium. RNAcentral describes it as "partial 16S ribosomal RNA". It matches the Rfam family "Bacterial small subunit ribosomal RNA", at positions 775 to 1067 of the family's 1533-position model. The record is from RNAcentral.